RNAcentral lists this ribosomal RNA (514 nucleotides) under uncultured archaeon. RNAcentral's name for it is "bacterial SSU rRNA". It matches the Rfam family "Archaeal small subunit ribosomal RNA", at positions 858 to 1372 of the family's 1478-position model. The record is from RNAcentral.
UAGGAAUUGGCGGGGGAGCACCACCAGGCGUGAAGCCUGCGGUUUAAUUGGAGUCAACGCCGGGAACCUUACCGGAAGCGACAGCAGAGUGAAGGCCAGAAUGAAGAUCUUGCCAGACGAGCUGAGAGGAGGUGCAUGGCCGUCGCCAGUUCGUGCCGUGAGGUGUCCUCUUAAGUGAGGUAACGAACGAGACCCGCGCCCCAUGUUGCCAGCAAAUCCUAAAGGGAUGUUGGGCACUCUUGGGGGACCGCAGCCGACAAGGCUGAGGAAGGUGCGGGCAACGGCAGGUCAGUAUGCCCCGAAUCUCCCGGGCCACACGCGGGCUGCAAUGGUAGGGACAGAGGGCUGCCACCCCGAGAGGGGGAGCCUAUCCCUAAACCCUACCUCAGUUGGGAUCGAGGGCUGCAACCCGCCCUCGUGAACAUGGAAUGCCUAGUAACCGCCGGUCAUCAUCCGGCGGUGAAUACGUCCCUGCUCCUUGCACACACUGCCCGUCGAACCACCCGAAUGUAUU